UACAGAGACUGCAAGCGUUAUUCGGAUUCACUGGGCGUAAAGGGUGCGCAGGCGGUUGGGUGUGUCAGAUGUGAAAUCCCGAGGCUUAACCUCGGAACUGCGUCUGAAACUACUCGACUAGAGUACUGGAGAGGGAAACGGAAUUCACGGUGUAGCAGUGAAAUGCGUAGAUAUCGUGAGGAACACCAGAGGCGAAGGCGGUUUCCUGGACAGUUACUGACGCUCAGGCACGAAAGCAUAGGGAGCAAAGGGG
RNAcentral lists this ribosomal RNA (253 nucleotides) under uncultured bacterium. RNAcentral describes it as "partial 16S ribosomal RNA". It matches the Rfam family "Bacterial small subunit ribosomal RNA", at positions 524 to 776 of the family's 1533-position model. The record is from RNAcentral.